GGCGCUAUGGGAUUGGUUUAACCAAAAACAGAAAUGAAGACCGAAAUCUAGGUGUGUUGAAUUUCGGUCAGCGUAAUGCAGGCGAAAUGUCGGUCCAUUCGGCGAUGUCCGCCAGUGGAUGCUGGGAGCCCGCCGCGAGCGGACGCGUGCCUGACGAUACAGAGAGUUCGGAACUCGUGUGUGAAGUGUGGUGGAAACUAACUUACGAUAAAUUAUUACAAAAGUUUUUUGCAAGCAUUUCAAUUUUGCAUUUUUCCUGAAGAAAUUUUAAACGCUGAGAAGUUGCGCUGAAUUUACAGAAGUCCGCCACAAGUAAAAGCUGAGAAAUCGGGGCGAGUAUUGAUCUGAAUCAAAUAGGAACGAUGUUGAGUUGACAGUCAGUGGUCAGUCAUGUGGUAGUGGCUGUGUGGAGUGGUGCGGGUGUGUGUGAUGUGCUUGCUGCGGCUGCGGUAACAUGGGGCUCGAGUAGGAUGUGAGCCAUGUCGCCAUGCGUGCGCGGCGCCAGCCCCGGCUCGCGGCGCGCGCUGCUACUGCUCGCCGUGCUGCACUGUGCCAGGUAAACACCCAUAUCUUAUACAUGGAUCUUGAGCGCUGACCUUCACCUGCGCAGAAGUGAUUUUUAGGGUCCCUUUUGCGGUAUGAAGUGAUGCGUGGGGGGGAUUAAUGGCAGUGAUAGGCCCGUAGCGCAUCGAGUCAUAGCCGUCAUGAGUGAUUCGUUAAAAUUCGUUCUUUGCUGCAGUUGCAUGCACCUUAAUUCAUUUUGUUUUUCUUUUGACAUGUAAUUGUAAAUUUUAAAGAUUGUACACCACAUGGGUAUGUUACAGUGAUACUUUGUUAUAACACUAAUUUUAAGAGCUGAAUUUCCACCUGUGACAAACAAUAAAUAAAUCUUGAAUCUUGAA
This is a long non-coding RNA of Trichoplusia ni (cabbage looper), 902 nucleotides long. RefSeq lists it as uncharacterized. The record is from RefSeq and is a predicted model, not a curated record. The transcript has 3 exons. NCBI's taxonomy places the organism in Eukaryota, Metazoa, Arthropoda, Insecta, Lepidoptera, Noctuidae.